Molecule: non-coding RNA, 197 nt
Filed under: Flavobacterium sp.
Lineage: Bacteria; Pseudomonadati; Bacteroidota; Flavobacteriia; Flavobacteriales; Flavobacteriaceae
Also listed under: 1 other name
Source: RNAcentral
UAUUUGCAUCCGAAUUAAGGUUGUGUUUUACUUUUUACGAAAACACAUUAAAAGGGAAUUAGGUUCAAAACCUAAGCUGUUCCCGCAACUGUAAGCUAUCAAGCUUGUUGUUAUCUACAAAGCCACUGUUUUUAAAAGAAUGGGAAGGUGAACAACAAGACGCAAGCCAGGAGACCUGCCUUUUUUCUUAACGAAUA